RNAcentral lists this ribosomal RNA (441 nucleotides) under uncultured bacterium. Its description in RNAcentral is "partial 16S ribosomal RNA". It matches the Rfam family "Bacterial small subunit ribosomal RNA", at positions 338 to 795 of the family's 1533-position model. The record is from RNAcentral.
CCUACGGGCGGCAGCAGUGGGGGAUAUUGCACAAUGGGGGGAACCCUGAUGCAGCGACGCCGCGUGGGUGAUGGAGUGCUUCGGCAUGUAAAGCCCUAUCGGCAGGGAAGAAGCAAGACGGUACCUGACUAAGAAGCCCCGGCUAACUACGUGCCAGCAGCCGCGGUAAUACGUAGGGGGCGAGCGUUAUCCGGAGUCACUGGGUGUAAAGGGAGCGUAGACGGCGAUGCAAGCCAGGGGUGAAAGCCCGGGGCCCAACCCCGGGACUGCCCUUGGAACUGGGCGGCUAGAGUGCGGGAGGGGCAGGCGGAAUUCCUGGUGUAGCGGUGAAAUGCGUGGAUAGCAGGAGGAACACCGGCGGCGAAGGCGGCCUGCUGGACCGCGACUGACGUUGAGGCUCGAAAGCGUGGGGAGCGAACAGGAUUAGAUACCCCGGUAGUC